Sinocyclocheilus anshuiensis is the source of this 2578-nucleotide long non-coding RNA. Lineage: Eukaryota; Metazoa; Chordata; Actinopteri; Cypriniformes; Cyprinidae. The record is from Ensembl.
AAGAGUUUCAGUCAUUUGAGGAAUGGCUGCAGGAUGAGCAGCUCGCUGUGAAUGAGUGCUUUGAGAACGCUGAGAGAAAGCAGGAUGUAGAAACAUCUAUGCAGAGACUGACAAGUUUCCUGGCCUCUAAAGAAGGAGAACAGCGUCUGGCUCAGUUGAAGGAGAGGUUUGAGCGAGGUGGACAGGCAAAGCUCCCUACUGAGGCUCAAGCUUUGCUCUCUACAUGGCAUCAGGAACAGGAAGGAGAACUGGCCACACUCAGGGCUCACUGCCAGGGACGCCAUAAACAGCUAGAUGACAUCCUCCACAACCUCAACAGGUACAUGGAAGAAGUUCUCAUCAUUGCUUUUGGUUGUUACUGUUGUUUCAGUUCAUUCAUGUCUUUGUAUUUAGUUUGCAAGAGGAACAUAAUCAAUUGAAGGACUGGCUGCAGCAGAGAGAGCAAGUGCCAGAACAGAGAGAAAAACUAAGGCAAAUCCAAGAGGAUUUUCUUAAAGAAAGCGGUCAUGUGGAGGCAUUCAAUGACCUGUUAUCUGCUGUAAGGAUGCGUGGCCUGAGGGGAGACCCUCUCCUUAGAGACACCGAGACCCUGAUAGACCGAUACCACAGCCUGGGGAUUCUUUUGGAGAAUCAGGUCCAAGUCCACAAGACCCUUGAUGAUCAAAUUGAAACAUUCCAAACCAAUGCAGAACAGAUCAGAGCCUGGAUCAGAAAUGUAAAGCAAGGACUUGAGUACUUGGGGACAGACACACCAAUACAGGAAAAACACAUACAUACUCAGGCUGUUUUUAAUCUUAGUCCUGAGGGUGAGGCUAAACUCGUGGCUUUGAAAGAAGAGUGUGAUGCUUUAUGUGUUUAUGAGAUUUUGGAGGACACCAGAAGACAGGGGUUCAUUCACACCCUUGGAAACAUUGAAGAUGAGUGGAAAAGAGUUCUGGAUAUGGCUCAACAACUAAAACAUCAGGCAGAACUCCAAGACACUCUCAAUAUGGAACUAGAAGAUCUACAGGCCCAGGAAGACAGCAUCCAAUCCUGGGUGAGAGAACAACUACAAAUGCUGCACUCUUUGGGGAAGGAGCUUCAGCCACAUGAAAAACUUAACAAAGUACAGGCUGUCAUAGAUCUUGGUGAUGAAGCCGAUUCCAGAUUGGCCAGUUUACAGAGACAAGGACAACAUUUAUGUUCUUAUGAAGAGCUUGAGAAUGAGAGGAGGAGCCACAUUGACCAAACCCAGAGAGCAGUAGAGGAGGAGUGGAGGACAGUGCUACAACUUGCCCAGGAGCUCAAGAACCAGGUCAAGCAUGAGGAAUCUCUCUACAGAGAGUUACAAACUUUCUGUGAUCAGGGAGAGGACACUCGAUCCUGGAUUAGACAUCUCGGAGGGACCCUGGAUUCCCUUCAUGUGACAUCUUCCAUUCAAGAGAGGCUUAUUGGAGUUGAGGCACUACUAACUCGUAGAUCUGAGGGGGACUAUAAACUUUCUGACCUAAAGACGAAGGGAGAGAAUCUAUGUUCCUGUGAAGAUCUAGAGGAGGACAAAUGUCAGACAAUCCAACAUACAUUACAAAAUGUACAGCAAGAGUGGAUGGGAGUUUUGAUGCAGGCUCAGGAACUGAAGAACCAAUCAGAACUUGAGGAUUCUCUUUCUAAGGACCUUCAGGAUCUUCAAGAAGAGGAGGAGAACACUCAAUGUUGGCUCAAACAGCAGCAUCUGAAGAUUGAAUUGCUAGGUCAGGAGACUCAGUUACAAGAGAGAAUGCAUGGAGCUCAGGCCAUCCUAAACUCAGAAUCAGAGGGGGAUUACAAGCUAGCCAACCUGAGGAGGAAAGCAGAGGGUUUGUGUUCUCGAGAAGGCCUGAAGGAGAAAAGAAAACUGGAAAUCCAGCUGAACCUGAGAUCCAUUGAAGAACAAUGGAAGAAGGUCCUGGCAAGUGCUCAAGAACUAAAGAACCAGGCGGAGCUCCAGGAUUCUCUUGCGAGGGAGCUUCAGAAUGUCUGUACCCAGGAGGAGAGCACCUGGACCUGGGUGAAGAACCAGAAAGAUGGCCUGGACUUACUGGGGGAAAGCACUCAUGGUACACUGGAGCAGAUUGAGGAGAGACUAAGCAAAGCACAAGCAAUUCUAAGUCUGCACUCUGAGGGCAACUCUAAGAUUGCAGCCCUGAAAUGGACAGUAGAUCGUCUUUUUAACCGUGAAGAUCUUGAUGAAGAUGCAAGACAUUCUCUCAUUAAAAAGAUGAAAAAUGCAGAGGAGGAGUGGAAGACAACACUGCAGCAAGCACAGGAGCUGCAUAGUCUGCUGAAAAGUGUAAGGGAACGUCUGGUGUCCUGUCAGUGUCAGAAGGACCAGCUUCAGUCUCGUCUGGAGCAGGUGAAACAGCAGACUGCUGCACUGCCGCGGCACUUCCCCUGGCCUGGUUUAGGGGAUCGAAGGCACACAUUGGAGCAAGCCAAGAGUCUGCUAGAUCGUACCAGAGCCCUGACCCCAUCUCUGUCUGCUGUCCGAGCACUUGGGAGGGAGAUGAGCCAGCUGACCCGUGAUUCCAGCUGGAUUGAUCCAUCCUGGGCCACCAUAGAG